CACAAACCUGAGAGGGCAGGAAGUCCACGCUGCCACCACGGGGUCACCACAGGGAGCCUGGUGGGGACACAGAGUAAAAAGAAUAGAAAAUAACCAAAUGUCAAGACUGCAACUGGGGUGGAGCCAAGCUGCUGCGGAUGUUGCCAAGGGCCCUUCCCGGGAGAGCCAGGUGGGGUACCCACAUGCCACCUUCUCCUCAGGUGGAGCCACCGCCUGUGGCCUCCUGUGGGGCCAGCCUGGACUGCAGCUGCCAGGACCUAGUGAUGGCCCCAAACCUGAGAGUGGGCCCAGAGUCCCACCCCGCUAACCAUGCUGAAAAAGGCCACAGGGCACAUGAAGCCUUUGCUCCCUGGAUCAGGUCACGCUCUCCAGUUUUCCUUCCAGGAGGACAGGCCAUGCACUAAAAAACAGCUGCAGAGGAAAGGCUGGACCAGGUGUGCUGGGAGUCACCAGGAGCAAGGUGGUGAAGUGAAGAAACUGAGAUAGGAGAAGGGAUGGUGCCUGAGUCUGCGGCAGACCCUGAACUGGGCCACAUCUCCCAACUUGAGAUUGAAGUCGCUUUGAAAGCAGUGAGUGCCUGGGAGAAAAGAAGGAGCUUGGGGAACUUCAAGUCAAGACUCUUUUGGGUCAGAGAUUAAGGAGGCUCUGUUGCUGCCUGUGUCUCACUGUCUUCUUCAUUCCAACAUCUGCCAUGUUUUGUGCAAUAAUGUUGGCCUCUUGCCUCAAUUUCUGCAUUGAUAAUGUAGAGGCUUCCAUUCCCUCUGAUGCCUUCUACUAAGUCAGUCCCACAAUAAUUGAAGGAUAUCAUGGAAUCUCAGCACCAAGAAGAGGUAGAUAGCAGAGCUAGGGUUUGAGCUGAAGCCUCAAGGACCUCCCAAGGGAGCCUGAAGAUCAUCAGAACCAAGCUAUCAUUUUAUAGAAAAGGAAACUAAAACCUGGGCAGGUUCACUGGUACACUCAGGCAGGCUAAGAUCUGGGUGAUGCACCUAGACACUCAUCUCUGAAAGAUACUGGGCUUAAGUCUUACCCAGUCAGCUCUUAAGGGUUUGUAUUUUUAAUGUAUGUUCAGCUCACUGCAUCCUUUGCCCGCAAGAACCACUCCAAACCCAAUGGAACUCGAUAUCAGCUUUUCCAUGUGUUUUUUGUCCAUGUUAUCUGAACACUUUUAACAGUUGCUUUGCUUGUUCACCCACACAGUGGGUGAGACUUCCCAACAGGAGCCUGGGGUCACUAUGAGGGGAAGUUUUUAGAGAGGAGGGCCAAAUGUCAGAGAAGGAGGAAGAAGAAGGAAGGAAGCAAUGAAAGCAAUAAACCUAUUUCUCAGGUCAUUUUAAAAACUUCUACUCUGGGACAUUGAGCAGAUAGUAUCUAUUUUUCUUUGCUUUGGGUAUUUUUAAAGACACUGCCCCUCCCCAUUUACUUUAAUACAAUACUAAGCACACAUUUCUCAGCACGUAACAAGUCAGGAUGUUCCAGGUUUUGAUGCACGGGUCAAACUUUGCUUUGCCUUGUUGACCAGCCUUGUUGACAAUAGGGCCUUUCAUUGCAGGAGCACAUGAAUCCGGGCAACGUGACUUAAGAGCUGGCUGAUGUUCCAGGACAGCACAAAAGAACGGAACUUGUUUUCAUGCUAUGAGUGCGCAAACCAAUGGGCAGUUUUUGGGGUUACUCGUGAUUGCUCCUCGGUCCAGAGUUCAGGCAGCAAUCUGAGCCACUCAACUGCUCUUCUUUACCCCUCUACCUCUGCAGUUCAUUGGGGGACAGAGCUGGGCCAGGAUCCUGGGACAGAAGGAGGAGGCGGGCCCAGGAAAGUCCACUUGGGGUAACACACAAUUUGUACAUAAAAAAGAAAUGUUCACCUCUUUGUAUGUACCGUAGUAAUUAUUUCACCUUCUUUUAUGAACUUGCACAUUUUCAGAGAGAGUUAAAUUAAGCAGAGUCUGAAAGUGGAGAAUUCUCACAUAGAUAAAAGAAUGGGGACCUGAAAUUGGGUCAUCAGGAAGUGUCUUGUGGCAAAAUACACUUAGUAUCGAACUGAAGGAAGAAAUAUUUCAAACAUUUUCUUUAAGGAAAACUUAAUGGAUGUGACUUAAUAUUGUCUAGACUGACCUAGCAGCACAAGGUGGUGCGUUCAAGGACUUUUCAUCUCAAUCCACAGGAAAAGGGUUCGAUUUAGAUGAGAAAGAGGGAGCGGGGCACAGCUAGACUGGAGAGGCAUCCUGUCCACGGAUUAGUCUUCACUCUUCAUGUGGGCAGUAGAAUGGUAAACGGGACCUUCUUAAAACAGCAGCUCCCAAACACUGGGAGGUUGAUGUGCUUCCUAAACCCUCACUGAUUCAUGAUGUUCGGCACAGUGUGGGGCCUCCCGAAAACGGUGCUGAUCAUAUGGAGUUUGUGGAACAUCUCCUAUGUGUACUACCGGGACUCUACUAUCCUCCGUGAUCACAAUUUCACUGGGGGCCAGUCGCCUAGAAGAUCUCACGGGGUGUCCAAUCUUUUGGCUUCCCUGGGCCACAUUGGAAGAAGACGAAUUGUCUUGCACCACAUAUAAAAUACACUAACACUAACGAUAGCUGAUGAGCUAAAAAAGAAAAUUGCAAAAAUAUCUCAAUGCUUUAAGAAAGUUUACAAAUUUGUGUUGGGCUGCAUUCAAAGCCAUCUUAGGCCACAUGUGGCCCGUGGGCCAUGGGUUGGACAAGCUUGAAGAUAGCCAUGAGACUACUGAUGACAAGAAUAAAGGUGGUUUAUUGAAUCCGUACUGUGUACUAGACUCUUCACAUGCAGAGCCUCAUUUAAUGCUCGUAACAAUCUCUUGAGGCUGAGACAAGCAUAUCCCCCAUCUUACAGAGGAAGAAGCCCACUCAGAGAAGCUAAGGAACUAACCCAAGAUCACACAACUAGAGUAGGGAUUCAAACCCAGACAAUGUGGAACCACAGACCACAACUUACCCACCAGCUGUUGAUGAAGAAUUUCAGACCAAAAGACUAUAGAGAGAGAAAAAAACUCCUGCUCCAAAUGAGAGAAGAGAAAGAGUGUUGACGGUAAAAUAUCAGUGAGACGCUGUGAUUUGUGCCUUUUGUCUUUUUCUAUCUGGCUCCCCUAGCAACAGUUAAGUAGUAAUGAAUGUAAAUGCUCAGUAACACGCCGGCGAGACUGUUCCACCAGGCGCAGCAUCCCUGGUAAACAGAAAUGCAUGCUAAUUUCUGCUCCGUGAAGCAUAGGAAACAUCACUAGGGGCUGCCCAGUGGAAAGGAACAAAAAGCAGAUGGAAAAAAUGUUUAAAUCUCAAGUUUAUGUGAGAACAGAAAAGAAGGAACAUGUUGUAAAUUAUUUUUUGAAAUAUUAAGCUACUAACAAAAUCCUAACACCAAGACAGACAACAGGGGUGGUAAAAGGGGAAGGAGAGACGGAGUCACAAUGGAGACGGUUUUGCUACAGCACAUCAUUAACCGCCACGUUUUUCUGCAGUAUCUGAAAAUAUCAGUCUUGGAAAUACCUAUGCAUUAUUUUUUCAGAGGUGUGUGUCUAUGGCCUCGGGGCUGGAGCUGGAAAACAAGCUAUUGCCAUGAGCUCAUGCUGGAGUCUGUGUAAAUUGUUUCCUCUCCUUAUGUAUAAUGUUUCUAAUUAGGACUGUUACAGAGGAUGAGCUCUGUGGGCUGUUGAAUUGACUCUUUGUGCUCACUGCAAAUCUAGGGCUUUAUGCCUGCCCAUGCUUGGGCCGACCUGCUUCUUAGAGGCAUCGCUAAAUGGGGAAGGUGACCCUGUCCUGCUUCCUGAUGUCUGAUAUCAGGGCUGUUGGGGAAACACCCAAGAGAUCUGCUGUCACCCCUGGAGUGAAUAGAUACAUGACUCUGGUUUCUAGAUGCAUAACUCUUGUUUCUAGUUGGCCCUUUUAUCCAAUUAUACCUUUAAUAAACAAAAGUCCAUUUUGAGGUCCUUUCUCUAAGAGACAACUAUUUACCUAAAAGUUGUAGGGUGAGCAGUAGACACUAGUUCCUCCCUCUGCAUCAAGAAUUUAAGAAAUGGGCUGGGCACAGUGGCUCACACCUGUAAUCCCAGCACUUUGGGAGGCCAAGGUGGGUGGAUCUCUUGAGAUCAGGAGUUUGAGACCAGCCUGGCCAACAUAGUGAAACCCCGUCUCUACUAAAAAUACAGAAAUUAUCUGAGUGUUGUGGUACAUGCCUGUAAUCCCAGCUACCCGGGAGGCUGAGGCAGGAGAAUCAUUUGAACCCGGAAGGCGGAGGUUGCAGUGAGCCAAGAUUGUGCCACUGCACUCUAGCCUCAGUGAUGGAGCGAGACGCCAUCUCAAAAUAAAUAAAUAAAUAAAUAAAUUUUAAAAGAAUUUUGGAAAUGUUUAGGGAAAGUGGAGUAGGACUCUGCUUCCCCAAGAUGCUGAGGCUUUGCAGAGAGGAUGUGACCCAGAGGGUAUGAGUCUCCCCGGCUUGGACCCACUCCUGCUCCCGACCUCUGACAUGUUUCUAGGUCAGACACACUUAGAAAAUUAAUCCUCAGCCAUCUGAGUAGCUGAUUGUCAGCAGGCAAUUCCCUUCCACCGGUAAAACUUCAGUCAGCUACGCUGGGCGAUGCAUAGAAAUACAGUAUUGGCUUGGCUUAGAGGUCUCCAGACACUUGGUCCCAGAGGACCAAGUAAAGGUUGCUUGUUAAUCUAGUACGACAUUCCCACUGUGGGACCUGUUAGGCUCCACACUGAAGAGGUGCCAGGAAUUCAAGGAGAGUGGAGGCUGGUGCUGAAAAGCUUCCCCCAGUGAUUCUGAUAUGCUCAGAGGGGGUGAUGGUGGUGGUCUUGGGCAGGCUUCCCAUUGUGUCAGGCCCAUGGUCACUAAUUCUUGUCCAGACCUGCAGAGCCAGAAUAGCCCAGCCCACAGAGCAGAAGCCACAGUGUAAGAAGCCCGACCUGGGCCAGAAAGCCUGACGAUGUCAGAAAAAAAUCCCCAUCAGUGUGAUGCCAUGGAAACCCUAGACAGCAGGCAGAUCUUUCUUCCUACGAGCCCAUUGGCACCUCCCUGGGAACUGGGAGCUGAGUAGGGAGGUAAAUCCCAGAAGCCAACAGAACACAGGUUUCAUGGAGAGCCUGGAUGCAAACCAGCAGUAGAGGACUGCUGCUCGGCACUGCGGAGGUGCUCAUGCCUUGCACCUGGUGGUUUGCCAAUGGACAAUUUCUCCAUGACCUAGUUUUCUACCUGGUCUGAAAUGAGAAAAAAUAAGUACAGCAUAGCAAGUUUUUCAUUAAGCUAAAUUUGUUCUAUUUAAAGAACUGCCAUUUGUUCUGGAACUAUGUCCUUUCUACUUUUUUUGGUGGAAGAAAAGUACUUUUAAGAAACAGAUGUGACAAUGUGGUAGUGGAUGACAACAUUUUUUGGUGUUGCUUUUUAAUAUUUCUAUUUUUCAAAAUAAAACCUGGCAACACUGUGUUAGUCCUCUGUUUUGUUUGUUUGCAUGCUUGCUUUUGCUUCUGUGUGUGGCGGAUUAGGGAUGGACACAAACUCUUUGGAACUUUUCAUACUGAAAGGUGCACCUAAUUUGCCUUCUCUUAAAUCUGGGCUGGCCUUAGUGACUUACUUGACUAAUAAAAUGUGGUGCGCAUGACCGCAUAGGUCUUCUGAAACUAGAUCACGGGAAACCCUGCAGCUUCCUUUCCAGGCCUCUUGGAACACUUAC
RNAcentral lists this long non-coding RNA (5680 nucleotides) under Homo sapiens (human). RNAcentral's name for it is "HSALNT0111446". The record is from RNAcentral. Lineage: Eukaryota; Metazoa; Chordata; Mammalia; Primates; Hominidae.